Molecule: unclassified non-coding RNA, 3564 nt
Filed under: Hevea brasiliensis (rubber tree)
Lineage: Eukaryota; Viridiplantae; Streptophyta; Magnoliopsida; Malpighiales; Euphorbiaceae
Source: RNAcentral
UUAUAAUGGAAGAUAUAAGAUAUAUUGCCUUCCUUAAAUCACUCCUUAAUAGAAUCACUGCUUAAGCUAAUUAAUCACAUGACUUUCUCAUAAGCAUAUCCCAUAAAUUAAAGUAAAAUCUCAUCAAUUCCAACAGGAAGAGUGACAAGCUCCAAAGUUUCAUUUUUUAUCAAGGCCUCAUCUUUUCAAUCAUAGCUUCUUUCAACUUUGCAUCAUUAAUAACCUCCUGCCAAUCUUAUAAAAUAAAAACAGAAGAUAUAGAGGCUACAUAGAAAGGAGACAAUGACCAUAUGAAACAAAGUUAAAGAUGGAAUAUUUACUAGAGGUUCUAACUCCAUUUUUAACAACAAUAGUAAUAUCAAGAUCAUUUGUAAAAGGACUAGAAGUAGAAGAAGUAGAAUUAGAAAUACAGAUUGAAGGAUACUUGCUAUCGUCUAUAUCAGGACCGAGUCCAGAGGUGUCACUUGACUAGAUAGAACUUCCCCAAUAGCUUUAUUUGUUGCAUUGUCUUUACAUGAGUACCUCUUUAUAUAUGGCCUACCUAACCUCACAAUUUUAUUAAGAUCAACCUCUAUGCCAUUUUCUUUUUUGUUAUUUGUCACCAUCAUUUACCUUAUUUUUACUCUCCCUCUCACUAAGAAUUAUACUAAUCUUAUUUUCACUCUCCUCCUCACUAAGAAUUAUACUAAAAUCUUUAUGAAUGUGAAGUUUGAUGGUAUCAUCUCUUCUACAUUAUUCUCCUCCUGAAGAGAUGACUGAGAUGGAGAAAAAUAGAGCACUAAUUCUUGAAAAGUAACAUUUAUACUCAUAAAAAAUUUACUAGAAGGUGAAUGAUAGCACUCAUAGCCCUUUUAAGUGGCAAAGUACUCAAUAAAUACACAUUUAAGGGCUCGAGGUUCCAGCUUUCCCACAUUUCUCCUAUGCACAAAACAUGCACAUUCAAAGACUUUAGGUAGAACAACAUAAUAAUUAAUACCUUGUAAAAUUUCCAAAGAACUGAAAGUUCAAUAUUUUCGAAGGCAUUCGAUUAAUAAGAUAUGUUGCUGAAAGCACUGCAUCCCCCAACAGGUUUUUGGAACAUUCAUAAUGAACAUAAAGGACUGAGUAACUUCUAGUAAAUGUCAUUUUUCCUUCCAGAGACUAUUUUGAGCAGUUGUAUUCACAUGACUAGUCUGAUGCAAAGUCCUAUGAGAAUUAAGAUGGUCAAAAAAAGACACUUUUCAUAUACUUGGUGCCAUAAUCAGUUUUGAAAACUUUCACUAUGGUAUUGAAUUGAGUAUAUAUCAUUUUAUGAAAUAACUUAAAACAACAACAAACCUCAUUCUCAGCAUGCAUCAAAUACACCUAAGUCAUCAUACUACAACAAUCAAUAAAAGAAACAAACCAUCUAUAGCCAAACAAUGACAAAGUUUAAUAGGAACCCCAUACAUCAAAAAGAAUAGUCAUGAAAGGAUCAUAAAUUUUAUUACUAAUAGAAGGAUAAGAAGUUUUGCUAUGUUUUGAAAACUCACAAGCAUAACCGAUUAGAGAAUCUAGUUUGCACAAUGUUGAGAUACUUGUGAUCCUUGCUUAUUAUCUGUCAUAAGUGUAUUAUAAUUAGGAUGUAAAUUAGCCUAGAAUAUGUAUUCUUACCUUUUUAGUGGUAAACUACCUACUUGCAAAAUUGUAGAUCCUUUACAUCACUAGAGACUAAAUCCCACCAGAAACUAGAUUAUGAAUUGAAAUAAAAACCUCUUAGCAGUAAAUUAUACUUAUUUACACAAAAAAAAAGGAUUUAAUAAAAUUAAUUUAUAAGUUGGGGCAUCAAUCAAGUAUCUAUUUGUACUAAUAUUUGGUAAGACCACUAGCAAAUUAAUUCCUACAUGGGAAUUACUUGUCAUUAGGUGGAUAAUAGUUUUUCAUUUCAAAAAAGCUUUUAUAUUUUAGAUUUUUUAACAAAAAAAACAUACUGCUCAAAAUAUUACUAGAUUAAUAAAAAUAUUUUAGAUGGAUAUUUCUUAAAUCAUAAAAUUUUUUUUAAUUGGUUUUGAUAACGCUAGUGCUAAUAUUGUAUCUAUUAAUGAGUUAAAAAAAGUAUGUCAACCAAUUUUAGGUGUUAGAUUUUUCCAUGUUAGAUGUACUUAUCAUGUGUGUUCAAGAUGCCUUUUCAUCUUUGUCUAUUUUUAUUCAACCUAUAAAAAAAUUCUUAAUUUUUUUUUUAUGAAUAUAUGGUAGUGUUAUUAAAAAAUGGGAACAAUAUUGUGGUGAAAAUGACAUGCACCCAAGGAAAUUUGCUAAGUAUGUCCCCACAAGGUGAAAUUCCACUUAUAAAAUGUUAAAUCAAACUUUCGAAUAUAGAAAUUUAUUAUAUUCAUUUGUUCAAUGUCGUUUAUUCAUUUUUUAAAUUUUUCUUGCGAUCUCAACAAUUCGAAUGUAAAAGUAAUUGUGAUUGCAAGUUUUUAAUGAUUCCACAUUUACUUCUCAUUUUUUACUAACUAACUUCACAAUUUUUUUUAAUUGAAACUUUAAUUGUAGUAAGUAUUUUAAAAGAAAAUGAAAAUAAUGUGCAAUUAAAUGAAUCAAUUGAUACCAUGAAACAAAAAUGACUCAAUUAUUUUAAAGAGAUUCCUUUAAUUUUUCUUGUUAUUAGUGUUUUAGAUACUAGGGCAAAAUUAGAUGGUUUCUUUGAUAUAUUAAUGGACUUUUAUACAUGCACAGGAAAAGAGAUAGAUUUUAUGAAAACAUGUCAAAUACUAAGACAAAAUAUAGUAGAUAUGUAUGAUUUACAUUGUACGUCAUAUAAUGCAAUUAGCCCACAUUCUUCUACCCCAUUGACGCCAAGUCAAUCCAUUGAAAGCUGACUAGAGCAAUAAUUUAUGAUGCAACAUUAUGAAAAAUAAAAAAUCACUGAUGGUCUAACCAAAUUAGAUAAAUAUCUUUCAACAAAUUUUCAAUUUAGUGACACUUUUGAUUUUAUUUUCCCCUUUAAUGAUCGGAAAAACAUGAACCAAAAUUUUCAAUCUUAGCAAAAGAUUACCAAAGAAUUGCUAGGCUUACCUGUGUCAAUAACGGUGGUUGAACAAGUAUUUAGUGCAUGGGGAAAUUACUAGGUAAAACUCGGUCUAGUAUGAACUUAAAAUCAUUUACACCACAAGCUUGCAUCAAUGAAUGGACAAAAGCCAACGAUCGUCAAUAAGGAAAUACAAUAGAGACAACCAUGACGACUUCGCAAUUCAAAGCACAUUGAUAUAAAUGAAGAAUAAACUAAUAAGUUAUGUGGUAUUUUUUAAAUAGAUAAGAGAACUAUAAGAGCUAUGAUUUCUCCAUCCUAAAAGGACACGUAAGCAAUUUAAUGAUCAAAUAAUUAAAUUAAAGCCUAAUGGUUUUUUUUUUUCAUUUUUCCAAAAUUAAUAAUGUAAUUUUUUUCUCUUUGCAAUUAAAUCAAUUAUAAGUAAUUUUUUCUUCUAUUUUAAUUAAGAAAUGUAUUUUUCUAACUUGUAAAUUGAUGUAUUUUUUUUUUAAUUUUUUUUUGUAUCCCGUUAGUCAUACAAACAAACGCAUAAUUGGUUUUUAAGACAAUCUUAA